Gallus gallus (chicken) is the source of this 2154-nucleotide long non-coding RNA. The record is from Ensembl. Lineage: Eukaryota; Metazoa; Chordata; Aves; Galliformes; Phasianidae.
GGAAAAACAGCUGGCACCCACACUUGAAGUCUCCUGCUUGGGAGAGGUUCAGUGACCCAAGUUCCAGCACCUGGGGCAGAAAUUGUCACUACAGAGCUCCUCCACAGCUUGCUCUCUGCAGCUCAGAAGUUCACCUUACCAACUGCUAUUUGACACCAAAGGAAUCUUCCCAGCUAAUAUAUUUUACAAAAGGCAUUACAAAUUCUAUUUUAGAAAUUGAUUUUUGCCAGCAAAGGUCACCACACUGGCUUCUGUGGGUGGUAUGGGAGAGUCACCUGUCAGCCACCGAGUGCCUUGUAAUGGAGCUGGGGAAGGACCGAGGUGACUCAGCAUAGGCUGGCCUUCUGAUAGAUGGCUUUGCCCUCGAGGCAGUGUGCAUCUGCACAGAGCCCACAGUCCCCUUUCCCGGUGGGAUUAACCCCUGGGGCUGGGCAAGAGCAGCCUGCAGCCGCCUCUCUGCAGCUGGAUCCAUUCCUUCCCACCUGCAGGAACCAUUCCUUCUCACCCAAAGGAGCCUAAAGGAUCUUGGGAUCUUUCAGCUUGAACCGCUGGUUUCCCCUGAUGCCUCCAGCUGGAGAAAAUUGCCAUGGCAAAUCCAUGCCUAGAUCAGAAGUGUCCCAACCAGAAUUACGUGGAAGACUGACGUCCCUCUUUGAGUGAAUUGAGGCUUAGAGAAAUUAAAUUGAAGUUCAUUUUCUCCACAUUAUUUUUAUUUCUGCCUCUCUGGAAACUGAAACCGUGUAAGGCUGGUUCUACAAAAGAAUGAGAAAUUGGAGAGCAAAGGCGAUAGCAAGACACUCAGCAGAGAGUGCUCCAAGAAGUGCUCUUAAAUUAUUAAAGAGAACUAGCAGAAAAGUGAAGAGAUGUGGGGGUAGGCAGAGAGAGCAGGAGCAAGAGAGCAUGUUUGCACCAUCCUGGAUCACACAGGGUACUUUUCCAAUCUGUCCCUAUUUAGACAUAUCUCUGUGCAGUUUUGAUUUCCCCCAAGGCUUGGGGAACUCUGCUAGAUCAAACAUUCAAAAGACCUUUUAGAAUUGAACACGUGCAUGAACAGCCCCAUGAGCAGAAAGGGAUGGAAGCACUGCAAGGGAGAGCAGAAGGCAAAAGAGGCAGGAAAUUGCCUUAAGAUGCAAUAUAGGUGCUGUUUCCCCAGAGCUAAGGUGGGUGGACCAGUCAUCUACAGGGCACCGAGCAGUGCCAGGAGCUGCUGACACGGAUGGGAACUGAAGGUUGUGGCUGCCUGGCAUCGCCAGGGUGCACCUGGCAGUCAGAGGACCGGAACCAGGACACCCCCUCCUCUGAUUCAGCCCCUGAGUCACCCACACUGUGCUGGCCUUCAGCCGGGACAAUGGACACAGCUGCUCUGCAUUUCUCCUGCUGCAGCAGAAGAGACAUCUCUGCCUGAGCCACCUCUCCUCCCUUGGCAUCCCUGUUUAGCUCAUCCUGGGAGCUGCACGCUGGGUUUGCCAUUGUGUUUCUCCAGCAAGAAGCAGUCUUCUAACCAUGCACAGAUAAGGCUUUACCUAACAGCUUCUCCUUGGAAAAAAUAAGGUUGACGUGUUCUGAUUCUAAAGGCAGUAAAACCACCAUGAGAUCAUCCAGUUUUAUUAAGGAAAGCAUGAGCCAAUUGUCUCACAAACACAGCCCCUAGAAACUCCCUGCUUAAGCAAUAUGCAGUGGCAGAUCUAGAGGAAAACAGGUAAUGCCCAUCGCUGUUUAACCGAUGAUUGUGCAUUCAGGCAUCAUAAACACACAAAGACAGCCUUCGUUUCAAAGAGCUUCAGUUUUCAGCACGUUACUCCUCACAGCUCACCACCCAUCCAUCAUACUUGCCUGUAUGCCUUUGAUGUGAAAAAAGAGUCAACCAUCAGAAUUGUAGCAAUGAUCAGAAACACCCCAGCAUUGCUUUGCUCUGAGGCAGCUCCUGCCCCUGACGGAAUCCAUGCACUGCAGAGCUGCGCCCUGAACUGCGGAUGUCAUCGAGCAGUAAUUAGGCAAUGACACUGUCUACCAGAAAAUCUGCUGUGUUUGGCUGUAACCACAACAGAGCCCACGGCAGUCUUAGCCCAGGCUGAUUUUUUCCCUUUAUUUUAUUUUAUUUUUUUGUCUUUAUAAUAAACCAGACCUUUCAACACCCACAUGCUUUACAAAUAA